AUGCGUCGGGUUCUGCGAUCAGUGAGUUUGCAGGGCAGGAAGAUGCCGAUGCGACUGUGGCUGCUUCUCACCCUCCUGACCCUCCCGCACUACGAGCGCUCUCAGACUCUCCAUCAGACCCCUCGAUUUAUUUCUCUGCCCCCCAGCUCCUCUGUCCAGCUGCACUGCUACCUGCACGGAUACAAUGCUGAGCCCUACAUGUACUGGUACCGGCAGCCUCCCCAGGGAGGAGCCCUGCACAUGCUCUUUCUCUCCAGAAACAGGGAUUCUAUUGACGACAGUUCAAAGAAACACUUUCAAGCUGCCCGACCGACCCAGCAGAACUUCAUGCUGAGCACAGACAGCCUCUUCCCCAACCACACGGGGCUCUAUUACUGCGCAUGGAGCCUCACACUUAGCCAAGCGGGUGCAGCCUCUGGACAAAAACUCCCCCUCCCCCGUCCCUGUGAGGAGCUGAGCUGA
Molecule: non-coding RNA, 462 nt
Organism: Gopherus evgoodei (Goodes thornscrub tortoise)
Lineage: Eukaryota; Metazoa; Chordata; Testudines; Testudinidae
Source: the annotation of a RefSeq genome assembly